This 253-nucleotide ribosomal RNA is filed under the name uncultured bacterium. RNAcentral describes it as "partial 16S ribosomal RNA". It matches the Rfam family "Bacterial small subunit ribosomal RNA", at positions 524 to 776 of the family's 1533-position model. The record is from RNAcentral.
UACGUAGGAUGCAAGCGUUAAUCGGAAUUAGUGGGCGUAAAGCGUGCGCAGGCGGUUUUGGAAGUCUGUCGUGAAAGCCCCGGGCUCAACCUGGGAAUUGCGAUGGAGACUGCAAGGCUUGAAUCUGGCAGAGGGGGGUAGAAUUCCACGUGUAGCAGUGAAAUGCGUAGAGAUGUGGAGGAACACCGAUGGCGAAGGCAGCCCCCUGGGUCAAGAUUGACGCUCAUGCACGAAAGCGUGGGGAGCAAACAGG